UGUCGAGAUGGCCGAGUUGGUCUAAGGCGCCAGAUUAAGGUUCUGGUCCAAAGGGCGUGGGUUCAAAUCCUACUCUGACAAUAUUAGAUC
RNAcentral lists this transfer RNA (90 nucleotides) under Helianthus annuus (common sunflower). RNAcentral's name for it is "tRNA-Leu". The stretch from base 2 to 80 matches the Rfam family "tRNA". Rfam says of the family: Transfer RNA (tRNA) molecules are approximately 80 nucleotides in length. The record is from RNAcentral. Lineage: Eukaryota; Viridiplantae; Streptophyta; Magnoliopsida; Asterales; Asteraceae.